RNA transcript from Vigna angularis (adzuki bean), 3420 nucleotides. It is a transcript of the gene named spliceosome-associated protein 130 A-like, with no coding region annotated. The record is from RefSeq and is a predicted model, not a curated record. The transcript is spliced from 14 exons. NCBI's taxonomy places the organism in Eukaryota, Viridiplantae, Streptophyta, Magnoliopsida, Fabales, Fabaceae.
GCGGCAAAGUUUUUCGUCAUAUUUCUCUUUCUUUUGCUUAAAAAAUGAGAGAAACGUUGGAGAGAUCAAAUCCGAAUUCAAAAGAACAAGAAAUUCUCAAAAAAAUGUAAGCGAUUAUUCGAUUUUUCUAGUAUUCAUGCGCAACAGUUUAUCAGUUAAUCUUCUGAGAAUGGGUAGGUGUCACUUUCUGCACCAACUACAGUUUCACUCCUUCCGAUCUCGUCUCAAGCUGGGAAGUUCAUUACCUCAAUAGACAGUUAAAUGAACCAGUUGUAGAGAGUACCGAAAUUGAUGGCUUUCUGUUGCAGCUGCAAAAUGAAAAGAAAGAGGACAGUGUAAAAGAAAGGGAAGAAGGCAGGUAAAUAAUGAUGAUGAUACAAAAGGACGAUACUCCUGUAACUCCAAUCAAUCACCAUAAUGAUCUUUUAUCUCCUGAUCCAACAUCAUUAACUGAUCCAACAUCAUUAAUGGAUGAGAAUAUUUUAUCUUCUGCGAAAGCAUCAAAAUCAAAACUAAUAACACCUUUUUCAAAGCAAACAGAUAAGUUUUCAGUGAAAUUUAACAUCAACACUCUCCUAGGAAGAAAUUCUAGUUGCAAAGUAGAGAUUCUGGAAGUUUUUCGGGAACCAUCCGAUCAAGAUAUUAUAUUAUGUCUGGAAUAGAGGCACGUAAAUGAUGAUAUGGACGAUACUCCUGAACUCCAAUCAAUCACCAUGAUCUUUUAUCUCCUUCAAUUGAUCCAACAUCUUUAAUGUAUGAGAAUGUUUUAUCUUCUGGGAAAGCAUCAAAAUCAAAACUAAUAACACCCUUUUCAGAGCCAACAGAUAGGUUUUCAGUGAAAUUUAGCAUCAAACACUCUCCCUAGUGUAGAGAAUGGGAAACAGGAACCUGAUCAUGAGUAUAUUGAGAAUGGUGAAGAUGAUGUUGUCAGAAGAGUUCCACAACGUGAAAGGUGUUCAUUGGUAUCAGGAGUCAAACCGGCUUGUAAAUUCAUGUAUGAUAGAACGGAGGAUAGGUCACUUGUUGAAUUUUUUGGCAAUCUAUCACGAGAAUGGGCACUAGAGUGCAUGAAAUACUUAUUGCUGGUAUAUCUCAGAGGCAACCUACAUAUUAUUGUGCCGGUUGUCAAAGAAUGUUGUGAACAGUUGGGCAUCGAUGCUUGCUUAAGGAUUUUUGAACAAUUCAGGUCAUAUGAAGGGCUAUAUUUUUUCCUGCGAUCAUAUUUGAGCUCCAGAAAAUGGAUGCCUUCUGUAAAAGGGACAAGCUUGAAUGCAGUGAGGAACUAGUUGAUCUUGUAAAGAUUGUAGAUAAUGAUCUUGUUUUAAAAAUAUACAUCAAAGCCUGAGCUACUCCAAAAUUGUUGUUGCUUUUACUGGAGAAGGCAAUUUGACAAGAUUCUAAUAUAGUCUAACUUGGUUGGACACCUGACUAUCUCUUUCUUUUAUAAAAAGUUUUUCGGACAAAUCCUCAGGGUGCUGUUAAUUUUGCAUUAAUGAUGUUGCAAAUGGAGGGAGGUUGCCCAGUUGAUUACAACACCAUAACUGAUUUAUUUCUUCAGGUUUUAUUUGAUGAUAAGCAAUGGGAUUUUCUAGUGGACCAAUUCAAACAGGCGUUCUGCAAGUUAUAUUCAGGCAUAUCGUGAUCGGAUCUAUGUUGGUGAUGUUCAAGAGGACAAUAAAGGUUGGAAAGUUUCUAGGAGAGUUGCCAAGCAAAGAGGAAACAAAGGAAGCAAGUAGGAAUGUGUGUUGUAGCCAACCAUGAAGCAUGUUUCCCACAUUUUCCAUGUGCAACACAUCCAGCCGUGUGUCUUCUUUACUUUGAAGCACAUUCAACAUAAGUUUCACGUGGAACAUAAGCCAAUAUAAAGCUUCUUCCAUUUUGAGCACAUUUUCAAUGAUGAAAACGUGGUACACACGGCCAGUAGCUUUGAACAUGUGAUUUAGCUCGAGCACAUUGUAAAUAUGUAGCUUUCCUUGCACACUUCCAAGCUCAUCUUCUCCUAUAAAAGAGAGCUUCAUCAUUUGUAAACUCAACUUGAAUUGUAUGAAGAAAUGCUGCUGAAUUGUCCAGCCAAUUCUCACUUUCGAGUUCACUGACUUGUGCCUUCUUAGCACACUUAUCCUCUAGCUUCCUUCCCCUUUGGAAGGCCGUCUGAGUUAGAGAACCUGCCUACACACUUCCAAAAACCGCAUCAGACAAUUCAUCAAACACCUUCCGUGCACCUCCAACUGCAUCUGCGUUUUCCAAUUCCGCUGCCACCUCUGGUCCGAGAAGCUGCUCAUUCUUGAAGAGUGAAGCUGCUUCUAUCAUUUGGUAUCAGAGCCAACACGUCCACGGUUGUCUUCAAGAGAUAAGCUUCUCUACUUUGCAAAUUUCCAAUUCUGUCAUGUGCUGUUCUGCUGUCACGCUAUUUUUGAUUUUUUUUUUCAAUUCUGUUUGGCUUAAUUUUGCAAAUAGACAGUGUGCUUAUUCUUGGAUCCAGUGUGCUGCUGCAGUACAUGAUUCAAUUCACUGAGUAAAAUCUUCAGUUAAUUGUGUUCUUUUCUUUCUUCUCUCCAGUCUUUCCACUACUCCAAGUAUAGGCGGGACGAAAACCAACUUUAUAUAUUUGCCCAUGAUUGUGUUCCAAGGUGGCUUAUUGCAUCGUACCACAUAGAUUUUGACACCAUGGCAGGCGCAGACAGGUUUGGAAAUAUCUAUUUUGUGCAGCUGCCACAGGAUGUUUCAGAUGAGAUAGAAGAAGAUCCUACUGGUGGUAGGAUCAAGUGGGAACAAGGAAAGCUGAAUGGAGCUCCCAAUAAGGUGGAAGAAAUUGUACAGUUUCAUGUUGGUGAUGUGGUCACAUGCUUGCAAAAGGCUUCUCUCAUACCAGGUGGUGGAGAGUGCAUUGUAUUUGGAACAGUUAUGGGAAGUGUUGGUGCUCUACAUGCCUUUACUUCACGAGAUGAUGUUGACUUCUUUUCUCAUUUGGAGAUGCAUAUGAGACAGGAUCACCCACCUUUGUGCGGAAGAGACCACAUGCCAUAUAGAUCUGCAUAUUUUCCCGUUAAGGAUGUUAUUGAUGGGGAUCUAUGCAAGCAAUCCCCAACAUUGCCAAUGGAUUUGCAGAGAAAAAUUGGACAGAACCCCUGGAGAGAUAAUGAAGAAACUCGAGGAAGUGAGAAAUAAGAUUAUUUAAGAAAUGGUUGCAUGGAAGGUCAUUUGCCCGCCGUAGCUAGGUCAAAUACUAACAAAGUGAAGUAAGCUCGUGUAUCUCAUUAAUAGGGGAACGGUGAUUUCUUGUCCUAUUUAAUUAGUCCUAGUUAACUGUUAUCACGCUUUGUGGAUGUGAUAACGUGCCACAUCGCUUCCUAUCUACAACUCACUCAGCAACCCCUCUCUUUUACUCAAAUCAGAUGUUUGAUUUAACUGGAUUUGAAA